Micropterus salmoides (largemouth bass) is the source of this 3433-nucleotide long non-coding RNA. RefSeq lists it as uncharacterized. Lineage: Eukaryota; Metazoa; Chordata; Actinopteri; Centrarchiformes; Centrarchidae. The transcript is spliced from 3 exons. The record is from RefSeq and is a predicted model, not a curated record.
CAGUCUAUGGUCGUUACCAGCUUACACUCGAGGUAAGUUACCUGAACUACACAACAACACUUAAAAUAACUAUUUAUCUGUUAUUGACAUUAUAGUUCAUAAGGUUUAAAAUGCUUCAACAAUCUUUAAUAUGUAGAUGUAGUAAUGCUGAUGGAAGCUAUUUAACUUGUAAAACAUUUAUUAACUGUUAUUGCAGCUUUAGUUAAAGUAUUAACAAAUCACACAAGGUAAUUCCCCACAUCGCUAUGUUGAGUUACGUUGCUGCUGUCGGCAGUGCUGUGCGAGAUCAUUGUCUGGAAUAACACUGUUGUCACAACACAUUUGUCACAAGAUGUUUUUUUCUUUCAGUGAUCGGUUCUUGUUGAGGUCGCGAUGCCUCCACGUCUGCUAUAUACAGCUUAAACUUGUCACACUGUUCAUCAGAUGUCCCACCUGGUGCCCAGAGAGCUACAGAGACCUGGGAAGCCUCCUCAUUGUGCUGGAAGCUGUCAGGCUGUCUGAUCACAGAGAAAGGCUGUGAUUUUCUGGCCUCAGCUCUGAGCUCCAAUCCCUCCCAUCUGAGAGAACUGGACCUGAGCUACAAUCAUCCAGGAGACUCAGGAGUGAAGCUGCUGUCUGCUGGACUGGAGGAUCCACUACUGAAACUGGACGCUAUAAGGUAUGAAGAGGCCUGAUGCAGCCACAGACAAUCAGUCUGAUAGAGCAGGUAUUUUUUGUUAAUGGCUCAGAAGAGAAACACUGGUUGAACAUGGACAUCUAUGUGUAGGAGGUCUCCAAGGAUAACAUCUCCAGCAACAAAUGAUGAUAAUUGCCUGUUGGUAAUAAGUUUGGACAGAUCUCUGCAUGUUGAAGGAACUUUCAGUCUGAGAAAUAUCCUUUUUAUAUCUUACCCGAUCAAACUAAUUUCAUGUCUGUGGAAAGAGAGGUCCAGGACGGGCCUAGCUUAGCACAAAACUGAAACAGGUGGAAACUGCUAGCCUAGCUCCAUCACAAGACAAAAAAGUAAAUCUUCCAAUAACUCCAGCUAACAUAGUUUAGUUAAGACUAUGAUCAAACCUGACACAGGACAGGACUAUUGAACUGAGUGUACUUCAGAAAAAGUGUAGUGAACAUAGUCUACACAGGCCUUAAUGCUCAAUUAGUAUUUAUUGCUUUGAUGUGAUUUUUUUAAUUGACUGUUACAUUAUUUUUUAAAUGUGGCCCAUAUUAGACUCCAAUGUGAAUUGGCCACAGUUUGAAUGUGACCCGCAUGCGCAAAAGAAUAAUUCAACGUCAUACGCAGUCGUACUGAAGUAAACAUGGAGUAAACAUCUGAGGUCGGCGCAUACUUACCAACCUUUUUCUGGCACUGUGCAGCAUGUAUAAGCCCUUCAACUCUCUCUCUGUACUUUUUCUUUUUGUACAAGUAGCAUGCACGUGAAGCAGAAGAUAGCUCACAAACCCCCUAACAGAGGUUAUCGUCUAUGGUUUUAUUUGUAAGUAGAUUUCAGAUAGAGAAAGGGCAAAUCAUGAGCAAAGAGGGAGAAAAAGAAAGAGACUUUUUUUUUUAUGGCUUUUUGUGGAGCUUUUUUGUUCACUGCAGGUCCCACUAGCACAGAAUUGUGACGACAGUCACUCAAGAGAGAUGUCAGGGUUGCAUGAAUUCUGAUCUGACUGUCUAGACUGAGGUUGCAUGUCAAACAAUCUGUGCUUUAUCUGAUUUGGACCACAUAUCAAAGUGGCCCAAAUCCGAACUGGAAAAGAUCAGAUUCUAUGUGACUUGGGCUUUUUACAUUCUUAUAGAAAAAAAUCUGAUCUGAAUCACGUGAGCAAAAAGACCAGAUUUGGUAUUUAUAUUGUAGACCCUCAGGGAACAUUCAGGAUCUGUUCUGGGAUCGUUUCGGGUACCAUAUUUUAUUCAGAAACUUAAUUAAAACUUUCCCAGAUGGUGAUGAUGUGGAGUUCUUCGUAGGGUUGGGGAACGUUAUUUGGCAGACCUCGGGGAACAUACAGGAUGUUCUGGGAACAUUUAGUGGAUCAUAUUGAAUUCAGAAAAGAGACCAUCCUACAUAGUGUCAAGGACAUCGCCAUAUAAUGUUCCCAGACGGGCACAAUGUGGAGUUCUUUGAAUAGGUUUGGGGAGGUUGUUUGGCAGAUCUUCAGGGAACAUUGAAGACGUUCUGGAAAUGUUUAGGCAAUCAUAGGAUGCAAAUGUAAAUGGUCUGUAUUUGCAUAGUACCUUUCUAUCCUUUGAGGCCACUCAAAGCACUAUUACACCACAUAGUGUUCACUCAUUCACACACAUUCAAACAUCAAUGGAACAGCAAUUUAGGGUUCAGUAUCUCACCCAAGGACACUUCGACAUGCAGCCUGGAGGAGUCAUUUUACAGUUAUAUUCCUUUUUAUUUCACAGAUUUUUCCUGUAUUUUUGAAAUACAUGAAAAUAUCAAAAACUUGCAUGUAAAAUAACAUGAAAAACCUGUAGCUGUGCAUAACCAUAACAUUUCUGUUAUUUUAAAGAAAAUAUUGUUUUUUUUUAAAUAUAUUAACAAACUGUUCCAAUACAUUCAGGAAUAUACCGUAUUUUCGCAAAUAAUAUUUUUCUUAUUUAAAAGCUGUUAAAUUUAAGUUUAAUACUGUAAAAACAUUUCUUAAACUUAGUAAAAUUAGUAACAGUUAACUGUAACAAAAAAACAUGUGUUCUGCAAUUUCACAUUGACAAAUAAAAACAAAUAAAAUAAAAUAAAAACAUUGAAUAAAUAUUAUUUUCAUCAGUGUAUAAUGUCUGCAAGCAUUGUUAAACUGUCAAAACACAGUUUUGAUCAUUGAAAACAGCCAUAAUUACUGUAAUUUCACAGAUGUUGACUUUUAUAAUGCUUAGAUUACAAGUUAGAUUAAAACAUUAAUAAUUGUCCCAAAGUGGAAAAAUUAACGAAAAGUAAUAUUUUAUUUAUUGUUAAAUGACAGGUGUCCACACCUUUUAAUGGGCUUAAAAAAUAAACCUAAACUUCCCAUAAAAUUAUGGGUUUGUAAUUAAAAAUGAAUUUUAAUGCCAUUUUAUAGAUACUUCGAUUGAAGAGUCUUAGCUAUAGGUGUAUUAUCACAACCUCAAACCAACAUAUUUAAAUCUGUUUUUUUUUCUUAAUUAAAAAUUACCACAUGUUCACAUUUUACAUUACAUACCACCACAGUACAAAUACCCACAUCUGAUAAUAUUUAUAGACCAUUUAUUCAGUUCCAUGCUCACAAUAAAUAGGCCACACAAGUUAAACAUUUCAGUGUAAAGAAUUGUUCUCCUGUAACUAAAGUGGUUUAGUUUUUAUUUACCUUAUGGAUGACAUUUUCAGAUCCAUUCAUUUGAAACACAACUGGUUUGACAUAAAGAACAUUUUGGACACUGUCAGACACAGCUCCAAGAUUAAAAUGGAACAUGAAUGUAAAGCAAUUAUAAAUU